AGUGAACGCUGGCGGUAGGCCUAACACAUGCAAGUCGAGCGGCAGCACAGUAAGAGCUUGCUCUUACGGGUGGCGAGUGGCGGACGGGUGAGGAAUACAUCGGAAUCUACUUUUUCGUGGGGGAUAACGUAGGGAAACUUACGCUAAUACCGCAUACGACCUACGGGUGAAAGCAGGGGAUCUUCGGACCUUGCGCGAUUGAAUGAGCCGAUGUCGGAUUAGCUAGUUGGCGUGGUAAAGGCCCACCAAGGCGACGAUCCGUAGCUGGUCUGAGAGGAUGAUCAGCCACACUGGAACUGAGACACGGUCCAGACUCCUACGGGAGGCAGCAGUGGGGAAUAUUGGACAAUGGGCGCAAGCCUGAUCCAGCCAUACCGCGUGGGUGAAGAAGGCCUUCGGGUUGUAAAGCCCUUUUGUUGGGAAAGAAAAGCAGCAGGUUAAUACCCCGCUGUUCUGACGGUACCCAAAGAAUAAGCACCGGCUAACUUCGUG
Molecule: ribosomal RNA, 492 nt
Filed under: uncultured bacterium
Lineage: Bacteria
Description: partial 16S ribosomal RNA
Rfam family: Bacterial small subunit ribosomal RNA
Source: RNAcentral